GAGACAACUCUUUGCAGAGCUGAAAUCCCUGACACAAAAAUUGCAUACUUUAUUUGUCACAAACUUUAAUUAAUAAUCAUUCUUGCUCUAAUAGAUUCAUUCCUCUGAGGACCCUAAAGUACUUCAGAAAAACUAAAAAAUGAAUAUCACGUUACACCAAAGAAGAAAUGAAAGCUGCCAGUGUCUUCUGAAGUUAAACAGGCUCCUGUUCUUUGACCCAGCAAUCCAAUCCCAGGACUCCAGCUAAGCCACUAUGCUGGGAGCAGAGAUGGGGAAGAAUUGCUGAGUCAUGAUAAGAGAAGGCACUACAGGAAGAAACAGUGAACUCUUAACAGCUGGGCAAGCAAUGAGUCAGCCUGGGUGGUCACUCCAGAUGCUCCCGGACACAUCCCAAUUUCUAGGAUGCCUUGCUUGCCAUGUUUGUGGACAUCCCCCCACUGCCCUUCAUCCUCAGAAAGGAACAGCCUCCUGUGGGUUGACUUGGUGAUAUCUGUCCAGAGAUAAUGUCUCCAGCCCCAGGCUCAUCACUCAGACAUCUGCCCUCAGGAGGACACGUUCAUCCCCAGCACCAGAGACAUGUCUGCCAAGG
RNAcentral lists this long non-coding RNA (589 nucleotides) under Gorilla gorilla gorilla (western lowland gorilla). RNAcentral describes it as "lncRNA (ENSGGOG00000044335.1)". The record is from RNAcentral. Lineage: Eukaryota; Metazoa; Chordata; Mammalia; Primates; Hominidae.